GCAAGACUAGCUCAGUCGGUUAGAGCGCUGGUUUGUGGAGCCAGAGGUCGUUGGGUUCGAGCCCCACGUCUUGUGCCA
This 78-nucleotide transfer RNA is filed under the name Rhizobium laguerreae. RNAcentral's name for it is "tRNA-His". It matches the Rfam family "tRNA". Rfam says of the family: Transfer RNA (tRNA) molecules are approximately 80 nucleotides in length. Their secondary structure includes four short double-helical elements and three loops (D, anti-codon, and T loops). Further hydrogen bonds mediate the characteristic L-shaped molecular structure. tRNAs have two regions of fundamental functional importance: the anti-codon, which is responsible for specific mRNA codon recognition, and the 3' end, to which the tRNAs corresponding amino acid is attached (by aminoacyl-tRNA synthetases). tRNAs cope with the degeneracy of the genetic code in two manners: having more than one tRNA (with a specific anti-codon) for a particular amino acid; and 'wobble' base-pairing, i.e. permitting non-standard base-pairing at the 3rd anti-codon position. The record is from RNAcentral. Lineage: Bacteria; Pseudomonadati; Pseudomonadota; Alphaproteobacteria; Hyphomicrobiales; Rhizobiaceae.